Molecule: ribosomal RNA, 430 nt
Filed under: uncultured bacterium
Lineage: Bacteria
Description: partial 16S ribosomal RNA
Rfam family: Bacterial small subunit ribosomal RNA
Source: RNAcentral
ACGAACGCUGGCGGCAGGCCUAACACAUGCCAGUCGAGCGCCCCGCAAGGGGAGCGGCGGACGGGUGAGUAACGCGUGGGAAUAUGCCCUUUGCUACGGAAUAGUCUCGGGAAACUGGGGGUAAUACCGUAUACGCCCUUUGGGGGAAAGAUUUAUCGGCGAAGGAUUAGCCCGCGUUGGAUUAGGUAGUUGGUGGGGUAAUGGCCUACCAAGCCGACGAUCCAUAGCUGGUUUGAGAGGAUGAUCAGCCACACUGGGACUGAGACACGGCCCAGACUCCUACGGGAGGCAGCAGUGGGGAAUCUUAGACAAUGGGGGCAACCCUGAUCUAGCCAUGCCGCGUGAGUGAUGAAGGCCUUAGGGUUGUAAAGCUCUUUCAGCUGGGAAGAUAAUGACGGUACCAGCAGAAGAAGCCCCGGCUAACUCCGUG